CCUACGGGAGGCAGCAGUGAGGAAUAUUGGCAAGGGACGGAAGGCGGAACCAGGCAAGGCGGGGGAAGGAAGAAGGAUCUACGGGUUGUAAACUUCUUUUAUAGGGGAAUAAAGGUAUCCACGUGUGGAUAUUUGCAUGUACCCUAUGAAUAAGCAUCGGCUAACUCCGUGCCAGCAGCCGCGGUAAUACGGAGGAUGCGAGCGUUAUACGGAUUUAUUGGGGUUAAAGGGUGCGUAGGUUGGUUUUUAAGUCAGCGGUGAAAGUUUGGGGCUCAACCAUAAAAUUGCCGUUGAAACUGGAAGACUUGAGUGUGUUUGAGGUAGGCGGAAUGCGUGGUGUAGCGGUGAAAUGCAUAGAGAUCACGCAGAACUCCGAUUGCGAAGGCAGCUUACUAAGCCAUAACUGACACUGAAGCACGAAAGCGUGGGGAUCAAACAGGAUUAGAUACCCCAGUAGUC
RNAcentral lists this ribosomal RNA (459 nucleotides) under uncultured bacterium. RNAcentral describes it as "partial 16S ribosomal RNA". It matches the Rfam family "Bacterial small subunit ribosomal RNA", at positions 338 to 795 of the family's 1533-position model. The record is from RNAcentral.